RNAcentral lists this transfer RNA (76 nucleotides) under Pseudomonadota bacterium. RNAcentral describes it as "tRNA-Met". It matches the Rfam family "tRNA". From Rfam's summary of the family: Transfer RNA (tRNA) molecules are approximately 80 nucleotides in length. Their secondary structure includes four short double-helical elements and three loops (D, anti-codon, and T loops). Further hydrogen bonds mediate the characteristic L-shaped molecular structure. tRNAs have two regions of fundamental functional importance: the anti-codon, which is responsible for specific mRNA codon recognition, and the 3' end, to which the tRNAs corresponding amino acid is attached (by aminoacyl-tRNA synthetases). tRNAs cope with the degeneracy of the genetic code in two manners: having more than one tRNA (with a specific anti-codon) for a particular amino acid; and 'wobble' base-pairing, i.e. permitting non-standard base-pairing at the 3rd anti-codon position. Lineage: Bacteria; Pseudomonadati; Pseudomonadota. RNAcentral also lists the same sequence under 2 other names. The record is from RNAcentral.
GGCGGCAUAGCUCAACGGGCAGAGCAUGCGGCUCAUAUCCGCAGGGUUGGGGGUUCGAGUCCCUCUGCCGCCACCA